GGGUAGAGUUACCAGAUGGGCGCUGGGGCAGGCUGUAAACCUGCCGUCUUACGGCUCGCUAGGUUCGACUCCUAGUCUACCCACCA
Molecule: transfer RNA, 86 nt
Filed under: Stenotrophomonas phage Summit
Lineage: Duplodnaviria; Heunggongvirae; Uroviricota; Caudoviricetes
Description: tRNA-Tyr
Source: RNAcentral